UUAAGCGACUAAGCGUACACGGUGGAUGCCCUGGCAGUCAGAGGCGAUGAAGGACGUGCUAAUCUGCGAAAAGCGUCGGUAAGGUGAUAUGAACCGUUAUAACCGGCGAUGUCCGAAUGGGGAAACCCAGUGCAAUUCGUUGCACUAUCGUUAACUGAAUACAUAGGUUAACGAGGCGAACCGGGGGAACUGAAACAUCUAAGUACCCCGAGGAAAAGAAAUCAACCGAGAUUCCCCCAGUAGCGGCGAGCGAACGGGGAGCAGCCCAGAGUCUGAAUCAGCUUGUGUGUUAGUGGAACGGUCUGGAAAGUCCGACGGUACAGGGUGAUAGUCCCGUACACCAAAAUGCACAGGCUGUGAACUCGAAGAGUAGGGCGGGACACGUGGUAUCCUGUCUGAAUAUGGGGGGACCAUCCUCCAAGGCUAAAUACUCCUGACUGACCGAUAGUGAACCAGUACCGUGAGGGAAAGGCGAAAAGAACCCCGGCGAGGGGAGUGAAAAAGAACCUGAAACCGUGUACGUACAAGCAGUGGGAGCACCUUCGGGUGUGACUGCGUACCUUUUGUAUAAUGGGUCAGCGACUUAUAUUCUGUAGCAAGGUUAACCGUAUAGGGGAGCCGCAGGGAAACCGAGUCUUAACUGGGCGUUAAGUUGCAGGGUAUAGACCCGAAACCCGGUGAUCUAGCCAUGGGCAGGUUGAAGGUUGGGUAACACUAACUGGAGGACCGAACCGACUAAUGUUGAAAAAUUAGCGGAUGACUUGUGGCUGGGGGUGAAAGGCCAAUCAAACCGGGAGAUAGCUGGUUCUCCCCGAAAGCUAUUUAGGUAGCGCCUCGUGAACUCAUCUUCGGGGGUAGAGCACUGUUUCGGCUAGGGGGUCAUCCCGACUUACCAACCCGAUGCAAACUACGAAUACCGAAGAAUGUUAUCACGGGAGACACACGGCGGGUGCUAACGUCCGUCGUGAAGAGGGAAACAACCCAGACCGCCAGCUAAGGUCNCAACCGAGAUUCCCCCAGUAGCGGCGAGCGAACGGGGAGCAGCCCAGAGUCUGAAUCAGCUUGUGUGUUAGUGGAACGGUCUGGAAAGUCCGACGGUACAGGGUGAUAGUCCCGUACACCAAAAUGCACAGGCUGUGAACUCGAAGAGUAGGGCGGGACACGUGGUAUCCUGUCUGAAUAUGGGGGGACCAUCCUCCAAGGCUAAAUACUCCUGACUGACCGAUAGUGAACCAGUACCGUGAGGGAAAGGCGAAAAGAACCCCGGCGAGGGGAGUGAAAAAGAACCUGAAACCGUGUACGUACAAGCAGUGGGAGCACCUUCGGGUGUGACUGCGUACCUUUUGUAUAAUGGGUCAGCGACUUAUAUUCUGUAGCAAGGUUAACCGUAUAGGGGAGCCGCAGGGAAACCGAGUCUUAACUGGGCGUUAAGUUGCAGGGUAUAGACCCGAAACCCGGUGAUCUAGCCAUGGGCAGGUUGAAGGUUGGGUAACACUAACUGGAGGACCGAACCGACUAAUGUUGAAAAAUUAGCGGAUGACUUGUGGCUGGGGGUGAAAGGCCAAUCAAACCGGGAGAUAGCUGGUUCUCCCCGAAAGCUAUUUAGGUAGCGCCUCGUGAACUCAUCUUCGGGGGUAGAGCACUGUUUCGGCUAGGGGGUCAUCCCGACUUACCAACCCGAUGCAAACUACGAAUACCGAAGAAUGUUAUCACGGGAGACACACGGCGGGUGCUAACGUCCGUCGUGAAGAGGGAAACAACCCAGACCGCCAGCUAAGGUCCCAAAGUCAUGGUUAAGUGGGAAACGAUGUGGGAAGGCACAGACAGCCAGGAUGUUGGCUUAGAAGCAGCCAUCAUUUAAAGAAAGCGUAAUAGCUCACUGGUCGAGUCGGCCUGCGCGGAAGAUGUAACGGGGCUAAACCAUGCACCGAAGCUGCGGCAGCGACACUAUGUGUUGUUGGGUAGGGGAGCGUUCUGUAAGCCUGCGAAGGUGACCUGUGAGGGUUGCUGGAGGUAUCAGAAGUGCGAAUGCUGACAUAAGUAACGAUAAAGCGGGUGAAAAGCCCGCUCGCCGGAAGACCAAGGGUUCCUGUCCAACGUUAAUCGGGGCAGGGUGAGUCGACCCCUAAGGCGAGGCCGAAAGGCGUAGUCGAUGGGAAACAGGUUAAUAUUCCUGUACUUGGUGUUACUGCGAAGGGGGGACGGAGAAGGCUAUGUUAGCCGGGCGACGGUUGUCCCGGUUUAAGCAUGUAGGCUGGUUGUCCAGGCAAAUCCGGAUAAUCAAGGCUGAGGUGUGAUGACGAGGCACUACGGUGCUGAAGUAACAAAUGCCCUGCUUCCAGGAAAAGCCUCUAAGCAUCAGGUAACAUUAAAUCGUACCCCAAACCGACACAGGUGGUCAGGUAGAGAAUACCAAGGCGCUUGAGAGAACUCGGGUGAAGGAACUAGGCAAAAUGGUGCCGUAACUUCGGGAGAAGGCACGCUGGUGUGUAGGUGAAGCCCCUGCGGGUGGAGCUGAGACCAGUCGAAGAUACCAGCUGGCUGCAACUGUUUAUUAAAAACACAGCACUGUGCAAACACGAAAGUGGACGUAUACGGUGUGACGCCUGCCCGGUGCCGGAAGGUUAAUUGAUGGGGUUAUCCGUAAGGAGAAGCUCUUGAUCGAAGCCCCGGUAAACGGCGGCCGUAACUAUAACGGUCCUAAGGUAGCGAAAUUCCUUGUCGGGUAAGUUCCGACCUGCACGAAUGGCGUAAUGAUGGCCAGGCUGUCUCCACCCGAGACUCAGUGAAAUUGAACUCGCUGUGAAGAUGCAGUGUACCCGCGGCAAGACGGAAAGACCCCGUGAACCUUUACUAUAGCUUGACACUGAACAUUGAGCCUUGAUGUGUAGGAUAGGUGGGAGGCUUUGAAGCGUGGACGCCAGUCUGCGUGGAGCCAACCUUGAAAUACCACCCUUUAAUGUUUGAUGUUCUAACGUUGGCCCCUUACCGGGGUUGCGGACAGUGUCUGGUGGGUAGUUUGACUGGGGCGGUCUCCUCCUAAAGCGUAACGGAGGAGCACGAAGGUUAGCUAAUCCUGGUCGGACAUCAGGAGGUUAGUGCAAUGGCAUAAGCUAGCUUGACUGCGAGCGUGACGGCGCGAGCAGGUGCGAAAGCAGGUCAUAGUGAUCCGGUGGUUCUGAAUGGAAGGGCCAUCGCUCAACGGAUAAAAGGUACUCCGGGGAUAACAGGCUGAUACCGCCCAAGAGUUCAUAUCGACGGCGGUGUUUGGCACCUCGAUGUCGGCUCAUCACAUCCUGGGGCUGAAGUAGGUCCCAAGGGUAUGGCUGUUCGCCAUUUAAAGUGGUACGCGAGCUGGGUUUAGAACGUCGUGAGACAGUUCGGUCCCUAUCUGCCGUGGGCGCUGGAGAAUUGAGGGGGGCUGCUCCUAGUACGAGAGGACCGGAGUGGACGCAUCACUGGUGUUCGGGUUGUCAUGCCAAUGGCACUGCCCGGUAGCUAAAUGCGGAAGAGAUAAGUGCUGAAAGCAUCUAAGCACGAAACUUGCCCCGAGAUGAGUUCUCCCUGAGACUUUAAGUCUCCUGAAGGAACGUUGAAGACGACGACGUUGAUAGGCCGGGUGUGUAAGCGCAGCGAUGCGUUGAGCUAACCGGUACUAAUGAACCGUGAGGCUUAACCUU
This 3680-nucleotide ribosomal RNA is filed under the name Klebsiella pneumoniae. RNAcentral's name for it is "bacterial LSU rRNA". It matches the Rfam family "Bacterial large subunit ribosomal RNA". Lineage: Bacteria; Pseudomonadati; Pseudomonadota; Gammaproteobacteria; Enterobacterales; Enterobacteriaceae. The record is from RNAcentral.